This 72-nucleotide transfer RNA is filed under the name Agrilus planipennis (emerald ash borer). It matches the Rfam family "tRNA". Rfam says of the family: Transfer RNA (tRNA) molecules are approximately 80 nucleotides in length. Their secondary structure includes four short double-helical elements and three loops (D, anti-codon, and T loops). The record is from Rfam by way of RNAcentral. Lineage: Eukaryota; Metazoa; Arthropoda; Insecta; Coleoptera; Buprestidae.
UCACUCGUAGCUUAGUGGUCACAGCAUUGGUGCGUAAAGUCAAAGGCCCGGGUUCAAUUCCCGGCGAGGGUG